RNAcentral lists this ribosomal RNA (434 nucleotides) under uncultured Lachnospiraceae bacterium. RNAcentral's name for it is "partial 16S ribosomal RNA". It matches the Rfam family "Bacterial small subunit ribosomal RNA", at positions 341 to 792 of the family's 1533-position model. The record is from RNAcentral. Lineage: Bacteria; Bacillati; Bacillota; Clostridia; Lachnospirales; Lachnospiraceae.
ACGGAAGGCAGCAGUGGGGAAUAUUGCACAAUGGGGGAAACCCUGAUGCAGCGACGCCGCGUGAGUGAAGAAGUAUUUCGGUAUGUAAAGCUCUAUCAGCAGGAAAGAAAAUGACGGUACCUGACUAAGAAGCCCCGGCUAACUACGUGCCAGCAGCCGCGGUAAUACGUAGGGGGCAAGCGUUAUCCGGAUUUACUGGGUGUAAAGGGAGCGUAGACGGCUUUGCAAGUCUGAAGUGAAAGCCCGGGGCUCAACCCCGGAACUGCUUUGGAAACUGUAGAGCUAGAGGGCAGGAGAGGUAAGUGGAAUUCCUAGUGUAGCGGUGAAAUGCGUAGAUAUUAGGAGGAACACCAGUGGCGAAGGCGGCUUACUGGACUGUAACUGACGUUGAGGCUCGAAGGCGUGGGGAGCAAACAGGAUUAGAUACCCUGGUA